AAGGGGGCUUUUAUUUUGAAAGAAAGGAAGUGGUUAAUGCAGGAACUUCACCAGUCACGGACUUCCCUCGUGUUUACAUUCGAAGCUCAGCAGCACGCACCGGAGUUCAGGUGCACAAAGGGAGGAGAGACUGACCCUGAUGAUGACCAUAUUGAACUGGAUGACAGCAGCAGCAGCAGGAACCUCCCAGUUCAACCUACUUUUGCUGUACUUAAAGGUUCCUAACACAUUUCUCAAACAAGAGCUGCUGGCCCUGCACAACAGAUCCUGAAGAUCUUCCCUCGCACUUAGCAUGUGACAUAUGAGGACCGGCAGCGUGACGUCACCGAAAGUGUGUUAAAAGUGUGUUAAGUUCCAAAACUGGCCACUAGUUGGCGUAAUCGAAAAUGAGCAAAAAUGUUAAACACACUUACACACUUAAUUUCUUAAAAUUGUGAUGUUUCAGGACAUUGGAGAUUUUUGGUCUGGGAGCAUGUUGGAGGGGUCUAGAACACUGUAGAGAGCUCA
Centropristis striata (black sea bass) is the source of this 507-nucleotide long non-coding RNA. RefSeq lists it as uncharacterized. The record is from RefSeq and is a predicted model, not a curated record. The transcript has 4 exons. NCBI's taxonomy places the organism in Eukaryota, Metazoa, Chordata, Actinopteri, Perciformes, Serranidae.